This 398-nucleotide ribosomal RNA is filed under the name uncultured bacterium. RNAcentral describes it as "partial 16S ribosomal RNA". It matches the Rfam family "Bacterial small subunit ribosomal RNA", at positions 523 to 918 of the family's 1533-position model. The record is from RNAcentral.
AUACGUAGGGUGCGAGCGUUGUCCGGAAUUACUGGGCGUAAAGAGCUCGUAGGUGGUUUGUCGCGUCGUCUGUGAAAUUCCGGGGCUUAACUCCGGGCGUGCAGGCGAUACGGGCAUAACUUGAGUACUGUAGGGGAGACUGGAAUUCCUGGUGUAGCGGUGAACUGCGCAGAUAUCAGGAGGAACACCGGUGGCGAAGGCGGGUCUCUGGGCAGUAACUGACGCUGAGGAGCGAAAGCAUGGGUAGCGAACAGGAUUAGAUACCCUGGUAGUCCAUGCCGUAAACAGUGGGCGCUAGGUGUAGGGGUCUUCCACGACUUCUGUGCCGUAGCUAACGCAUUAAGCGCCCCGCCUGGGGAGUACGGCCGCAAGGCUAAAACUCAAAUGAAUUGACGGGG